RNAcentral lists this small nuclear RNA (134 nucleotides) under Tilletiaria anomala UBC 951. Its description in RNAcentral is "U4 spliceosomal RNA". It matches the Rfam family "U4 spliceosomal RNA". Rfam says of the family: U4 small nuclear RNA (U4 snRNA) is a component of the major U2-dependent spliceosome. Lineage: Eukaryota; Fungi; Basidiomycota; Exobasidiomycetes; Georgefischeriales; Tilletiariaceae. The record is from Rfam by way of RNAcentral.
AUUCUUGUGCAGGGGUAGACGCUUGAGCCAGUGACGUUUCGACGGAGGCCAAGUUAUUUGCUUAAUCGCAAACAAACUACCAUUUUCGUCCUUGUCGCUUUAACGCAACAUGGCAAUUUUUGGAAUCGCUUUCG